CCUACGGGAGACUGCAGUGAGGAAUAUUGGUCAAUGGACGCAAGUCUGAACCAGCCAUGCCGCGUGCAGGAAGACGGCUCUAUGAGUUGUAAAUUGCUUUUGUACGAGGGUAAACGCAGAUACGCGUCUCUGUCUGAAAGUAUCGUACGAAUAAGGAUCGGCUAACUCCGUGCCAGCAGCCGCGGUAAUACGGAGGGUUCAAGCGUUAUCCGGAUUUAUUGGGUUUAAGGGGUGCGUAGGCGGUUGGAUAAGUGAGAGGUGAAAUCCGGAGGCUCAACUUCGGAAUUGCCUCUGAUACUGUUAGACUAGAGAGUAGUAGCGGUAGGCGGAAUGUAUGGUGUAGCGGUGAAAUGCUUAGAGAUCA
This 364-nucleotide ribosomal RNA is filed under the name uncultured bacterium. RNAcentral describes it as "partial 16S ribosomal RNA". It matches the Rfam family "Bacterial small subunit ribosomal RNA", at positions 338 to 699 of the family's 1533-position model. The record is from RNAcentral.